Molecule: ribosomal RNA, 440 nt
Filed under: uncultured bacterium
Lineage: Bacteria
Description: partial 16S ribosomal RNA
Rfam family: Bacterial small subunit ribosomal RNA
Source: RNAcentral
CCUACGGGUGGCAGCAGUAGGGAAUAUUGCUCAAUGGGGGAAACCCUGAAGCAGCAACGCCGCGUGGAGGAUGAAGGUUUUCGGAUUGUAAACUCCUUUUGUUAGAGAAGAUAAUGACGGUAACUAACGAAUAAGGACCGGCUAACUCCGUGCCAGCCGCCGCGGGAAUACGGAGGGUGCACGCGUGACUCGGAAUCACUGGGCGUAACGAGCGCGUAGGCGGGAUGGGAAGUCAGAUGUGAAAUCCGAUGGCUUAACCAUAGCAAUGCAUUUGAAACGGUUGUUCUAGAGUAUGGGGGAGGUCGUUUGCAUGCUUGGUGUAGGGGUAAAAUCCGUAGAGAUCAAGAGGAAUACUCGUUGCGCCGGCGACCUGCUCGACCGUAACUGACGCUGAUGCUCGCAGGCGUGGGGAGCACACAGGAUUAGAUACCCGGGUAGUC